GACAGCUUGGCCGAGCGGUUAAGGCGAUAGACUCGAAAUCUAUUGGGGAAACCGCGCGUGAGUUCAAAUCUCACAGCUGUCG
RNAcentral lists this transfer RNA (82 nucleotides) under Pythium insidiosum. RNAcentral's name for it is "tRNA-Ser". It matches the Rfam family "tRNA". Rfam says of the family: Transfer RNA (tRNA) molecules are approximately 80 nucleotides in length. Their secondary structure includes four short double-helical elements and three loops (D, anti-codon, and T loops). Further hydrogen bonds mediate the characteristic L-shaped molecular structure. tRNAs have two regions of fundamental functional importance: the anti-codon, which is responsible for specific mRNA codon recognition, and the 3' end, to which the tRNAs corresponding amino acid is attached (by aminoacyl-tRNA synthetases). tRNAs cope with the degeneracy of the genetic code in two manners: having more than one tRNA (with a specific anti-codon) for a particular amino acid; and 'wobble' base-pairing, i.e. permitting non-standard base-pairing at the 3rd anti-codon position. Lineage: Eukaryota; Oomycota; Peronosporomycetes; Pythiales; Pythiaceae. The record is from RNAcentral.